Molecule: ribosomal RNA, 487 nt
Filed under: uncultured bacterium
Lineage: Bacteria
Description: partial 16S ribosomal RNA
Rfam family: Bacterial small subunit ribosomal RNA
Source: RNAcentral
GAUGAACGCUGGCGGCGUGCUUAACACAUGCAAGUCGAACGAAGCACUUUUGAUUCUUCGGAAGAGGAAGUGACUGAGUGGCGGACGGGUGAGUAACGCGUGGGUAACCUGCCUUACACAGGGGGAUAACAGUUAGAAAUGACUGCUAAUACCGAAUAAGCCAAUAGAAUCGCAUGAUCUAGUCGGAAAAGAUUUAUCGGUAUAAGAUGGACCCGCGUCUGAUUAGCUAGUUGGAGGGGUAAUGGCCCACAAAGGCGACGAUCAUUAGCCGGCUUGAGAGAGUGAACGGCCACAUUGGGACUGCGACACGGCCCAAACUCCUACGAGAGGCAGCAGUGGGGAAUAUUGCACAAUGGGGGAAACCCUGAUGCAGCAACGCCGCGUGAAGGAAGAAGUAUUUCGGUAUGUAAACUUCUAUCAGCAGGGAAGAAAAUGACGGUACCUGACUAAGAAGCCCCGGCUAACUACGUGCCAGCCGCCGCCGUAA